UGAACGCUGGCGGUAUGCUUAACACAUGCAAGUCGAACGGAAACGAUACUAGCUUGCUAGUAGGCGUCGAGUGGCGGACGGGUGAGUAACGCGUAGGAAUCUGCCUGAUAGUGGGGGAUAGCCCGAAGAAAUUCGGAUUAAUACCGCAUAAUCUAUUCGUAGUAAAGUGGGGGACUUUCGAGCCUCACGCUAUCAGAUGAGCCUGCGUAAGAUUAGCUUGUUGGUAGGGUAAAAGCCUACCAAGGCGACGAUCUUUAGCUGGUCUGAGAGGAUGAUCAGCCACAUCGGGACUGAGACACGGCCCGAACUCCUACGGGAGGCAGCAGUGGGGAAUAUUGGACAAUGGGGGCAACCCUGAUCCAGCAAUACCGCGUGUGUGAAGAAGGCCUGAGGGUUGUAAAGCACUUUCAAUUGUGAAGAAAAGUUAGCGGUUAAUAACCGUUAGCCUUGACGUUAACUUUAGAAGAAGCACCGGCUAACUCCGUGCCAGCAGCCGCGGUAAUACGGAGGGUGCAAGCGUUAAUCGGAAUUACUGGGCGUAAAGCGUGCGUAGGCGGUUUAUUAAGUCAGAUGUGAAAGCCCCGGGCUUUAACCUGGGAACUGCAUUUGAAACUGGUCAACUAGAGUAUGGUAGAGGAAAGUGGAAUUUCUGGUGUAGCGGUGAAAUGCGUAGAUAUCAGAAGGAACAUCAAUGGCGAAGGCAGCUUUCUGGACCAAUACUGACGCUGAGGUACGAAAGCGUGGGUAGCAAACAGGAUUAGAUACCCUGGUAGUCCACGCCGUAAACGAUGAUAACUAGCCGUUGGGGGGAUUUACCCUUUAGUGGCGAAGCUAACGCGUUAAGUUAUCCGCCUGGGGAGUACGGCCGCAAGGUUAAAACUCAAAGGAAUUGACGGGGACCCGCACAAGCGGUGGAGCAUGUGGUUUAAUUCGAUGCAACGCGAAGAACCUUACCUGGUCUUGACAUCCUGCGAACUUUCUAGAAAUAGAUUGGUGCCUUCGGGAACGCAGUGACAGGUGCUGCAUGGCUGUCGUCAGCUCGUGUCGUGAGAUGUUGGGUUAAGUCCCGUAACGAGCGCAACCCCUAUCCUUAUUUGCCAGCACAUCAUGGUGGGAACUAUAAGGAGACUGCCGGUGAUAAACCGGAGGAAGGCGGGGACGACGUCAAGUCAUCAUGGCCCUUACGACCAGGGCUACACACGUGCUACAAUGGGAAGGACAAAGAGCCGCGAAGCCGCGAGGUGUAGCUAAUCUCAUAAACCUUUUCGUAGUCCGGAUUGGAGUCUGCAACUCGACUCCAUGAAGUCGGAAUCGCUAGUAAUCGUAGAUCAGAAUGCUACGGUGAAUACGUUCCCGGGUCUUGUACACACC
RNAcentral lists this ribosomal RNA (1371 nucleotides) under uncultured bacterium. RNAcentral describes it as "16S ribosomal RNA". It matches the Rfam family "Bacterial small subunit ribosomal RNA", at positions 30 to 1391 of the family's 1533-position model. The record is from RNAcentral.